AGUGAACGCUGGCGGUAGGCCUAACACAUGCAAGUCGAACGGCAGCACAGUAAGAGCUUGUUCUUACGGGUGGCGAGUGGCGGACGGGUGAGGAAUACAUCGCAAUUUACUUUUUCGUGGGGGAUAACGUAGGGAAACUUACGCUAAUACCGCAUACGACCUACGGGUGAAAGCAGGGGAUCUUCGGACCUUGCGCGAUUGAAUGAGCCGAUGUCGGAUUAGCUAGUUGGCGGGGUAAAGGCCCACCAAGGCGACGAUCCGUAGCUGGUCUGAGAGGAUGAUCAGCCACACUGGAACUGAGACACGGUCCAGACUCCUACGGGAGGCAGCAGUGGGGAAUACUGGACAAUGGGCGCAAGCCUGAUCCAGCCAUGCCGCGUGGGUGAAGAAGGCCUUCGGGUUGUAAAGCCCUUUUAUUGGGAAGGAAAAGCAGCAGGUUAAUACCCCGCUGUUCUGACGGUACCCAAAGAAUAAGCACCGGCUAACUUCGUG
RNAcentral lists this ribosomal RNA (492 nucleotides) under uncultured bacterium. RNAcentral describes it as "partial 16S ribosomal RNA". It matches the Rfam family "Bacterial small subunit ribosomal RNA", at positions 29 to 507 of the family's 1533-position model. The record is from RNAcentral.